AAUGAUAAUGAUCUUCCUCUUUGCACUUCGAAUAAGAAGAAACUGAAGAGUAUUCGAGGACUGUUCGGUGGCUUACUUUCGAGCUAAGAAACCCGAGAGAAACGAAGAGAAAAGAACAAGGAAGAAAAGGCACAAAGGAUUUUUAAUUGAAAUUCUCUGCGGAGAAGAGGCAUCCUUUGGCUGUUCUUCCCAACGAAGCGGGCGCCAAAUGUAACAAAAAAGGAAGAGUCAAGCACCGAUUCGUCCUCAAGUCAUUCGACAAAGAAGAAGAAUUCGACGGUUCUGAGAACUAAUUUUCCGCACAAUUUCAGACAAGAGGGAGGAGUUCUCCAACAAAAAAGGUAUAUAUUAUUUUGAGGAGAUGGGAGCAGCGCGUGACUUCUUCAAUGACUCGUGAAUGACCAGCGUCGUUUCCGAUUCCCCCGUAUACAGGUCUUUUUAAAUCGUCGAAUCCUAGCGCUAACAUAUAUAUUGAACUACGUAUAUACGAUGGACCAUGUUUGUCAUACUGAAACGUUUCUAAAAAAAAAAAGCAAAAAAAAUAAUAGAGAGAGAGAGAGAGAGAGAGAGAGAGAGAGUAGAAAGACGAAAGAAAAAGAAGAGAAGAACAAUUCGAAUUCCUCGAGCCCCGUCGUUCGCCACGAAGACGUAGACGUAGAAACGACGAACUUCACAACACUCCCGUUGCAUGCUCAACGACUCCAAAGCAGCAAAAGAAGAAAGCAAGAGCAAGAAGAAAACGAAACGGAGCAGCCACACCGCGGAUAGUUAAAAGUAGCUGGCCCAAUAGUCGAGUUCGAUCUGUUUCAGAAGGAAAAACAAAAAAAAAAAAAAAAAAAAAAACUGAAGCGAGACAGUUGUACGCGUCGAAAGAUGAGUAGGUCAGGGCGACGAGUUUCAAUUGGAGAGAACGAAGAAGAGAAGAGAAAGAUAGAAGAAAGGGAAACGAGCAGGAAGAACCAGAUGUAACACGCGUUCUUCUGUCGUUUCCUCAGCUGCCCCCCCACAUCUCGGGGGAUUUCUUCAGGUAACGUUUCUCUUCUCGAUCGAAAGAGAAGGAGGAAGAAGAUACCACGAUGCGUAGAAGUAAGGUUAGGAGAGAUCAGCGAAGCCUGUAAAUAAGUAAAGUCUCGUUCGUCACGUGUUUUGGACUUGGUCUUUUGGUCACGGUUGCGCGCGACACAAUUCUAUUCGGAUAAAAAAAAAAAAAAGAAAUGGAAGGAUAAAGUAUAUAGUAUAUAUAUAUAUAUAAACACGUAUACAGAAAACAUACGCGUACCAGGGUCGAAGCUGGCUGUCCUGGGGCCAGGUUAUAUAUUCUCUCUGAUCCAUGGUGUACAGUUUUGAAGGCCGUUGAGAGGCGCGAGGGCCCCGGAACUGAGGUACGCGACCGUGCAUAAUUGUAGCUUAUCUCUCCAGAAGAGUAUAUAGGCUUCUUGUGUAAUUAUGUGAAAUUGUACGUAGACGGUACACUUAUCUCCAGGGAAUAGCCGCGGACACAUAUCUCAAAUCAGAGUUCAUUCUAUCCGACGCGAAGGGGGAGAAUUAGACGGGUAUGGAUUCAGAAAUGUUGGCCAGUAGGGUGUGGGCCCUCCUUCGUUGGGUGGAAGCCGACUUUUUCUUAGCAAUCAUCAGUGCACUGUGGAUUUUCCUGCCAUUUUAGUCAAAUGUGGAAAAUUUUAAUACGUAACGUACGCGAAAAUAUAGUACAAGUACAAUUUUUAAUUGUACUCGUAAAAAUGUGAACUUGGACACAGAUAUCUGCAGUCCAGAUUUCUUCUUUUCGUUUCCUCCCGGUGAGGAAUGAUUUCUUUGUCUAGUUGGUAGACUUGAGAACAAGAUUCGAAUCGUUGUUUUUACAAAAUAAUGAUAACAAGUAGACCGAUCUGGGAGGAUUUUAAUGCACACGUAAAAGGUGCAAAAAAAGUUCAUGAAAAUACAGGAAAAUCCAAACUAUAGAGUAUUUGAGUUUGUUGUUUCAGUUUAUAAAAAUUUUAGAACGCACGAGCAUCUGCGGGUCUGACAGUGACAAAGUUAGAGUCAGAGUGAGAGGGCCCACAGAGUUUGGAAAGUUUGAUUUUAAAAGGGAUCCAUCGAUCAACGACGCUUGAUCGUUUCCAUCCUUCCAUCGAGCAGGGGCAUAAUUAGAUCGUAGGUUUUACCCUAAAGCUUUCAUCGUCCUACAUAUCAUAGAGAAAGAAGAGAUCCUUUUGUUUCUGUGGUAGAAAGAUGGGCCUACGAGAACAAAAAGAAAAAGAAGAAGAGAAAAAUUCAUAAGGUUCACUGGUGUACUUAGACAGAGGAGGAGCGAGUGUGUGUGUGUGUGAGAGAGAGAGAGAGAGAGAGCGAAUGAGUGAAAAGAAAAAGAGUAUUGUCCAAUUUGAGACUCGAAACAAAUGAAGAGAAGAAAUAAGAGGGCCUCUAAAUAAUUGAUAGGGAACGAGCCGCGUUUCGAGACAAAUGAGAAACAUGCUUUUUAGGAUUAGUACGCAGCUUCGACCUAGCCUCUCCCCCCCCCAUCCUAUAAAAAAAAAAAAUGUAUUUAGAUAACACUAACGUGCACCCUGAAAUUCUUCCAUUUUCCUUAAUUAUCGCGAGACCUUCUCGUUUAAAUCUCAAAAGUUUUACGACGUAACGCAGGGUUUUGUUUCAUUAUUAUAUUUGACAAAGUCAGUUGAGGAACUCGUGAUACAAUUUGUGAUCCUCGGUCUGGGGACUUUUGUGCAAACAACAAGCGAAAACGUACGAAAUAUCUAAUCUUCGUCGUCAGCAAGAGAGCAAUAUUAUUUAAUAUUAAUGAAGAUGAACAGCCAUUUAAUAUUUAUCGAAGUAUUGUUCAAUUUGUCAAUCAAAAAUCCCCGGCCCGACUGUAUCAUCUAUAUCUUUCUCAAUUUUCAUUUUAAUCGUAGUUCAGUCGUCGGCUCAGAGUUCUCGACAAUAAUAAAGGGAAAUGAUCUGAUGCAGCUCAUCGAAUCAUUCGGUUCUUCGAACAUAUCCAUCUUCUGACCUCGUAUUUUCAUAAAUCAAGAUACAUAUUCCGUCAUCAAGGCCCAUCGACGAAUUAUUUUCAUAGUCAGAGCGAUUCUUCUACCCACGUCUUACAGUAUUAUCAGACUCGGUCCGAUUCUUUCCUCAUUUUCUCGCGAUUCCCCCGCCGGAGCCACUGACACUUUUUAUUCACAAAAGGGAUUUUUUAGGCGCGAACGAGCGACAAUUAACCGACCCUUUCGCACGAGGGUGAAGGUUUCUUUUCUUCUGGUAUCGUUUAUCGAAACAGCUCCUAUUGCUUUCAGAUUGUUUGACAAUAAUCACGACUGAUAAGAAUAACCUAGAACGAUAAUUAUCAAG
Molecule: long non-coding RNA, 3348 nt
Organism: Frieseomelitta varia
Lineage: Eukaryota; Metazoa; Arthropoda; Insecta; Hymenoptera; Apidae
Exons: 2
Source: RefSeq, a predicted model, not a curated record